CCCUGAUGUGGGGGAUAACCAUUGGAAACGAUGGCUAAUACCGCAUAAUGCCUACGGGCCAAAGAGGGGGACCUUCGGGCCUCUCGCGUCAGGAUAUGCCUAGGUGGGAUUAGCUAGUUGGUGAGGUAAUGGCUCACCAAGGCGACGAUCCCUAGCUGGUCUGAGAGGAUGAUCAGCCACACUGGAACUGACACACGGUCCAGACUCCUACGGGAGGCAGCAGUGGGGAAUAUUGCACAAUGGGCGCAAGCCUGAUGCAGCCAUGCCGCGUGUGUGAAGAAGGCCUUCGGGUUGUAAAGCACUUUCAGUCGUGAGGAAGGUGGUGUAGUUAAUAGCUGCAUUACUUGACGUUAGCGACAGAAGAAGCACCGGCUAACUCCGUGCCAGCAGCCGCGGUAAUACGGAGGGUGCGAGCGUUAAUCGGAAUUACUGGGCGUAAAGCGCAUGCAGGUGGUUUGUUAAGUCAGAUGUGAAAGCCCGGGGCUCAACCUCGGAAUAGCAUUUGAAACUGGCAGACUAGAGUACUGUAGAGGGGGGUAGAAUUUCAGGUGUAGCGGUGAAAUGCGUAGAGAUCUGAAGGAAUACCGGUGGCGAAGGCGGCCCCCUGGACAGAUACUGACACUCAGAUGCGAAAGCGUGGGGAGCAAACAGGAUUAGAUACCCUGGUAGUCCACGCCGUAAACGAUGUCUACUUGGAGGUUGUGGCCUUGAGCCGUGGCUUUCGGAGCUAACGCGUUAAGUAGACCGCCUGGGGAGUACGGUCGCAAGAUUAAAACUCAAAUGAAUUGACGGGGGCCCGCACAAGCGGUGGAGCAUGUGGUUUAAUUCGAUGCAACGCGAAGAACCUUACCUACUCUUGACAUCCAGAGAACUUUCCAGAGAUGGAUUGGUGCCUUCGGGAACUCUGAGACAGGUGCUGCAUGGCUGUCGUCAGCUCGUGUUGUGAAAUGUUGGGUUAAGUCCCGCAACGAGCGCAACCCUUAUCCUUGUUUGCCAGCGAGUAAUGUCGGGAACUCCAGGGAGACUGCCGGUGAUAAACCGGAGGAAGGUGGGGAGGACGUCAAGUCAUCAUGGCCCUUACGAGUAGGGCUACAC
RNAcentral lists this ribosomal RNA (1095 nucleotides) under Vibrio owensii. RNAcentral's name for it is "bacterial SSU rRNA". It matches the Rfam family "Bacterial small subunit ribosomal RNA", at positions 129 to 1219 of the family's 1533-position model. Lineage: Bacteria; Pseudomonadati; Pseudomonadota; Gammaproteobacteria; Vibrionales; Vibrionaceae. The record is from RNAcentral.